RNAcentral lists this long non-coding RNA (751 nucleotides) under Mus pahari (shrew mouse). RNAcentral describes it as "lncRNA (MGP_PahariEiJ_G0006231.1)". Lineage: Eukaryota; Metazoa; Chordata; Mammalia; Rodentia; Muridae. The record is from RNAcentral.
AGACCCCCCAGCUGCAGUGUUCCCUGCUGCCUCUUGCUUACUGUGGUGUCUCAUUCCUGUUUGGAUCAGCAAUCCUGUAUUCCAUGCAGAUUUACUUCUCUGGCACUGCUCUGAGACGGCAAGCUUCUAAAGGAAUUGAGACUCCAAGAGACUCAAGAUGCCUCAGAAGUUCCUUUUGUGGAAAGCUGAACAUUUCUCUCAUGUGCUGGCCCUGUAUUAUGAUUUUUUUUUCUGAAACAGUCACCUCCUGUCACAAGGAUAAGUCGACUGUUCCCAGGGCAUCCCAGAGAAGCCUGAAGUAGAGUUGCUGGUGCGCGCUGAAGAGGCCUUAAGUGAGGCCACAAAGAAAUCUGACUAGGAACACAGCAUUCUUUGAGCCAGCCUUGCGAAGGCCGCCUGCAGUGAGGCUGGCCCCGCCUGAGUCAUCUCUGAGUGGGAAGGACUGGAGCCAGCUGUCUCCCCAGGCUGGGGUUUGCAUUUCUCUGCCAAAGUCACACUUCAAGCAAGUGAAACAGUCCUGAGUUGUUAGCUGGGGUCAGAGUCACAGCACCACUCAACAGACUUCCCUCUCCCCUGCUGUCCUCCUUCCGUCCUCUGCUUCCCAGCUUUCACAGGGGCCGAGGCCCUUAGGGGAGGCACAUUGCAUUCUGACUGUCCAAGAAGAGUCUAUGUUCUGACACGAUUGCCUCCCAGAACUGCAAUUCUAUUCAUUCUAUUAAAAAACAAACAAACAAACAAAAAAAACUCCACC